This 253-nucleotide ribosomal RNA is filed under the name uncultured bacterium. RNAcentral describes it as "partial 16S ribosomal RNA". It matches the Rfam family "Bacterial small subunit ribosomal RNA", at positions 524 to 776 of the family's 1533-position model. The record is from RNAcentral.
UACGUAUGGAGCAAGCGUUAUCCGGAUUUACUGGGUGUAAAGGGAGCGCAGGCGGUCUGGCAAGUCUGGUGUGAAAGGCCGGGGCUCAACCCCGGGACUGCAUUGGAAACUGUCAGACUGGAGUGUCGGAGAGGUAAGCGGAAUUCCUAGUGUAGCGGUGAAAUGCGUAGAUAUUAGGAGGAACACCAGUGGCGAAGGCGGCUUACUGGACGAUGACUGACGCUGAGGCUCGAAAGCGUGGGGAGCAAACAGG